This 122-nucleotide small nuclear RNA is filed under the name Erythranthe guttata (spotted monkey flower). Its description in RNAcentral is "Mimulus guttatus (spotted monkey flower) U5 spliceosomal RNA". It matches the Rfam family "U5 spliceosomal RNA". Rfam says of the family: U5 RNA is a component of both types of known spliceosome. The precise function of this molecule is unknown, though it is known that the 5' loop is required for splice site selection and p220 binding, and that both the 3' stem-loop and the Sm site are important for Sm protein binding and cap methylation. Lineage: Eukaryota; Viridiplantae; Streptophyta; Magnoliopsida; Lamiales; Phrymaceae. The record is from Rfam by way of RNAcentral.
AGUUGCACAGUGAACACAUAGCGAACUAUUCUUUCGCCUUUUACUAAAGAAUACCGUGUGCUCGAUGCAAUUCAAUGCAGCAGCAUACGCCUCUUUUUGGAGGGCUAAUUUCCUUGUGGAAU